ACGCUCGACACCUACGGGAGGCAGCAGUGGGAAAUAUUGCACAAUGGGGGAAACCCUGAUGCAGCGACGCCGCGUGGAGGAAGAAGGUCUUCGGAUUGUAAACUCCUGUUGUUGGGGAAAAAGAGGAUGGUACCCAACAAGGAAGUGACGGCUAACUACGUGCCAGUAGCCGCCGGUAAGUCUGAGCGGGCGUGGCAAGGC
RNAcentral lists this ribosomal RNA (201 nucleotides) under uncultured bacterium. Its description in RNAcentral is "partial 16S ribosomal RNA". It matches the Rfam family "Bacterial small subunit ribosomal RNA", at positions 328 to 544 of the family's 1533-position model. The record is from RNAcentral.